CAUGCAGUCGAGCGAUGAAACUUUAACAGAACCCUUCGGGGCGAAGAUAAAGUGGAUUAGCGGCGGACGGGUGAGUAACACGUGAGUAACCUGCCUUAGACAUUGGGAUAGCCUCGGGAAACCGGGAUUAAUACCAAAUAAAAUCAUAAUGACACAUGUCAUAACGAUCAAAACUCCGGUGGUCUAAGAUGGACUCGCGCCCCAUUAGCUAGUUGGUAGAGUAAAAGCCUACCAAGGCGACGAUGGGUAGCCGACCUGAGAGGGUGAACGGCCACAUUGGAACUGAGAAACGGUCCAAACUCCUACGGGAGGCAGCAGUGGGGAAUAUUGCACAAUGGAGGGAACUCUGAUGCAGCGACGCCGCGUGAACGAAGAAGGCUUUCGAGUCGUAAAGUUCUUUUAUAUGGGAAGAUAAUGACGGUACCAUAAGAAAAAGCCCCGGCUAACUACGUGCCAGCAGCCGCGGUAAUACGUAGGGGGCUAGCGUUGUCCGGAAUCACUGGGCGUAAAGGGUUCGCAGGCGGAAAUGCAAGUCAGAUGUAAAAGGCAGUAGCUUAACUACUGUAAGCAUUUGAAACUGCAUAUCUUGAGAAGAGUAGAGGUAAGUGGAAUUUUUAGUGUAGCGGUGAAAUGCGUAGAUAUUAAAAAGAAUACCGGUGGCGAAGGCGACUUACUGGGCUCAUUCUGACGCUGAGGAACGAAAGCGUGGGUAGCAAACAGGAUUAGAUACCCUGGUAGUCCACGCUGUAAACGAUGAGUGCUAGGUGUCGGCGAAUGUCGGUGCCGCAGUUAACACAAUAAGCACUCCGCCUGGGGAGUACGUGCGCAAGCAUGAAACUCAAAGGAAUUGACGGGGACCCGCACAAGCAGCGGAGCAUGUGGGUUUAAUUCGAAGCACGCGNGAACNUACCAGGCUUGACAUACUGA
Molecule: ribosomal RNA, 927 nt
Filed under: uncultured bacterium
Lineage: Bacteria
Description: bacterial SSU rRNA
Rfam family: Bacterial small subunit ribosomal RNA
Source: RNAcentral